GAUGAACGCUGGCGGCGUGCCUAAUACAUGCAAGUCGAGCGAACAGACGAGGAGCUUGCUCCUCUGACGUUAGCGGCGGACGGGUGGGUAACACGUGGAUAACCUACCUAUAAGACUGGGAUAACUUCGGGAAACCGGAGCUAAUACCGGAUAAUAUAUUGAACCGCAUGGUUCAAUAGUGAAAGACGGUUUUGCUGUCACUUAUAGAUGGAUCCGCGCCGCAUUAGCUAGUUGGUAAGGUAACGGCUUACCAAGGCAACGAUGCGUAGCCGACCUGAGAGGGUGAUCGGCCACACUGGAACUGAGACACGGUCCAGACUCCUACGGGAGGCAGCAGUAGGGAAUCUUCCGCAAUGGGCGAAAGCCUGACGGAGCAACGCCGCGUGAGUGAUGAAGGUCUUCGGAUCGUAAAACUCUGUUAUUAGGGAAGAACAAAUGUGUAAGUAACUAUGCACGUCUUGACGGUACCUAAUCAGAAAGCCACGGCUAACUACGUGCCAGCAGCCGCGGUAAUACGUAGGGUGCAAGCGUUGUCCGGAAUUACUGGGCGUAAAGAGCUCGUAGGUGGUUUGUCACGUCGUCUGUGAAAUUCCACAGCUUAACUGUGGGCGUGCAGGCGAUACGGGCUGACUUGAGUACUGUAGGGGUAACUGGAAUUCCUGGUGUAGCGGUGAAAUGCGCAGAUAUCAGGAGGAACACCGAUGGCGAAGGCAGGUUACUGGGCAGUUACUGACGCUGAGGAGCGAAAGCAUGGGUAGCAAACAGGAUUAGAUACCCUGGUAGUCCAUGCCGUAAACGGUGGGCGCUAGGUGUAGGGGCCUUUUGGGGUUUCUGUGCCGUAGCUAACGCAUUAAGCGCCCCGCCUGGGGAGUACGGCCGCAAGGCUAAAACUCAAAGGAAUUGACGGGGGCCCGCACAAGCGGCGGAGCAUGUGGAUUAAUUCGAUGCAACGCGAAGAACCUUACCUGGGCUUGACAUACACCAGAUCGCUGCAGAGAUGUAGUUUCCCUUGUGGCUGGUGUACAGGUGGUGCAUGGCUGUCGUCAGCUCGUGUCGUGAGAUGUUGGGUUAAGUCCCGCAACGAGCGCAACCCUUGUCUUAUGUUGCCAGCACGUUAUGGUGGGGACUCAUGAGAGACUGCCGGGGUUAACUCGGAGGAAGGUGGGGACGACGUCAAGUCAUCAUGCCCCUUAUGUCCAGGGCUUCACACAUGCUACAAUGGCCGGUACAAUGCGCAGCGAGCCUGUGAGGGUGAGCUAAUCGCUUAAAGCUGGUCUUAGUUCGGAUUGGGGUCUGCAACUCGACCCCAUGAAGUCGGAGUCGCUAGUAAUCGCAGAUCAGCAAUGCUGCGGUGAAUACGUUCCCGGGCCU
Molecule: ribosomal RNA, 1371 nt
Filed under: uncultured bacterium
Lineage: Bacteria
Description: partial 16S ribosomal RNA
Rfam family: Bacterial small subunit ribosomal RNA
Source: RNAcentral